GUCAUAUGCUUGUCUCAAAGAUUAAGCCAUGCAUGUCUCAGUACAAGCCAAAUUAAGGUGAAACCGCGAAAGGCUCAUUAAAUCAGUUAUGGUUCCUUAGAUCGUACCCACAAUUACUUGGAUAACUGUGGUAAUUCUAGAGCUAAUACAUGCAAACAGAGCUCCGACCGGAGACGGAAGGAGUGCUUUUAUUAGAUCAAAACCAAUCGGUGUCGGGUUCGCUCGUUACCGUACAACUUGGUGACUCUGAAUAACUUUACGCUGAUCGCACGGUCAUCGCACCGGCGACGCAUCUUUCAAAUGUCUGCCUUAUCAACUGUCGAUGGUAGGUUCUGCGCCUACCAUGGUUGUAACGGGUAACGGGGAAUCAGGGUUCGAUUCCGGAGAGGGAGCCUGAGAAACGGCUACCACAUCCAAGGAAGGCAGCAGGCGCGCAAAUUACCCACUCCCGGCACGGGGAGGUAGUGACGAAAAAUAACGAUACGGGACUCAUCCGAGGCCCCGUAAUCGGAAUGAGUACACUCUAAACCCUUUAACGAGGAUCAAUUGGAGGGCAAGUCUGGUGCCAGCAGCCGCGG
RNAcentral lists this ribosomal RNA (578 nucleotides) under Trigonopterus sp. 537 AR-2022a. RNAcentral's name for it is "SSU rRNA". It matches the Rfam family "Eukaryotic small subunit ribosomal RNA", at positions 23 to 579 of the family's 1831-position model. The record is from RNAcentral. Lineage: Eukaryota; Metazoa; Arthropoda; Insecta; Coleoptera; Curculionidae.